This is a non-coding RNA of Mesocricetus auratus (golden hamster), 326 nucleotides long. Lineage: Eukaryota; Metazoa; Chordata; Mammalia; Rodentia; Cricetidae. The record is from Rfam.
GGAUGUGAGGGCUAUCUGGCUGCGACAUCUGUCACCCAUUGAUCGCCAGAUCACCCCACUGAUCUGGCUGGCUAGUUGGGUGUCCUCUUCCUCCCUCACAGCUCCAUGUGCAUUCCUGAAGCUGCAUGCUCUGUCGAAGAUGAUGACUUUCCCCGAAUAAAGCAGGACUGGUCUUUGGUCAAGGCUAUAUCAGUAGCUGUGCUCCCCUGCUAGAACCUCCAAACAAGUUCUCAAUUCAUUCUUUAGGAAGGCAAAUACAUUCAAAUAUUUCCUUUAUGUCCAAGACUAAUACUAUACAUGAUUUGUUCUAAAAGUCUAUAUUUUUU